This is a long non-coding RNA of Topomyia yanbarensis, 1336 nucleotides long. RefSeq lists it as uncharacterized. The transcript is spliced from 4 exons. The record is from RefSeq and is a predicted model, not a curated record. NCBI's taxonomy places the organism in Eukaryota, Metazoa, Arthropoda, Insecta, Diptera, Culicidae.
GAGUUUUCGAUUGAAGGAACUGGUGUAGUUUUCUGCACUGAAAUUGCACUUUUCUUGCAGAAGUGUUGUCAAAACACCGACACCAUGUUCCAUUGAUUGGAACUGCAAUAAAAAAGUGCAAUUCCAGUGCAAUUUCGGGGCAGAGAUUUGGCACCGAAAAAUUUGUCGGUGGAGCCAGUGCACUCACCAACACAGACCAACACCAAUCACGCAAACGUCAAAGCAACGUUCAAAAUGGAUGCCAAAACAAAUCGGUUAUCGCAGAAAACGACAGGGAUAGUACCCUUCUGCCGGAAUCGCAUUUGGUACUCAAUGGUUUACCAGCUUUCGACUUCAAUUCUGUCGACUAGAGGUAUGCGUUUUAUUGAUUAGUAGCUCCCAUUUUCCCGGGCGCGAUCUCGAUGGGUCCCGCCGAGGUGGCAGAAAACAGUAACGAACUGAUCCAUACGUAGGAGUAAAAUGUUCCAAAGGUGGCCUGGAAUUCUACUGGGCUGGAAUUUCCCCAAAAAGCGGUUCCGAAGCGGCGAUCAUCUCCAGAGCCACCAUCGUUUCCACGUAAAGAAGCAAUUCAGUGUGAACCAUAAAAGGGAACCGUCGAACAACAGACGAAACCGUUGCCCGUUAUCACUAUCAACGAAAAGGAUUACCAGGUUCUGUAAAAGCUCGGUUCCGGUGGAUCCAGUUCAGUGUUUUCGGCCAAACAAAUGAGGAAUGGCGUUGAAUGUGCGUUGAAGUUGGUGGAUUUCGAAGGCGAUUCCAGCAUAGUAGAAGGCUACUUAAACAAAACGAAACAUGGCGAAAUUGCAAGGGAAUGAAAACGUAGUAGCGCUGUAUGACUAUUGUCAUGUUGCGGAGUCUAGCCAACUUUACCUGGUAAUGGAAAAGGGUGAUAAUGAUCUGCACAAAAUCCUGCAAAGCUACCGCAAGGAUAUCCCGCUGUACAUGCUUAUGCAAAUUUGGUACCAGAUAGUACAGUGUGUGCACUACAUUCACGAGCAAGGUGUCAUCCAUCUGGAUCUCAAACCGGCCAACUUUCUUAUGGUAAACUGAUUGACUUUGGCAUCGCCAGCAAUAUCUCCUUCGACUCCACCAGUAUUAUGAAGUUUUGCCAAGCGGGCACAUUCAACUACAUCAGCCCGGAAACUUUGACACUUCCGCGGAGAACGGUUCAGCCAACUCCCAGCCCAAGAUCCGCAAGUCAAAAUGCUGCAGCGAUGUCUCAAGUACGAUCGAAAGACGAGAGCUCCGACGGCGGAUUUGCUUGACUACCCGUUUGACAUGGUGAUUGGGAAAUAAAGAUGCUGUAGCAACUUUACAUAUGUGCAUAUUUCUCUGU